RNAcentral lists this long non-coding RNA (266 nucleotides) under Mustela putorius furo (domestic ferret). Its description in RNAcentral is "lncRNA (ENSMPUG00000025612.1)". The record is from RNAcentral. Lineage: Eukaryota; Metazoa; Chordata; Mammalia; Carnivora; Mustelidae.
AGCACAUUUCCUACAGGUUCCUUUUUCUUCCUUCAUACUUGAGUAGAAGAGUGAAUGGAUUGAUGAAUCUGGUACAAAGACAAAUAUGGUCACUUAGGAAAACAAGGACUUCAGACUGUGAAGAAAGUAAAGAGCAACUAACAAAAAGUUAUGAAUCCUCCUGUGAAAGCCAUCAAUUAAGGUAAGUAAAAGAUUCCUAAAUUUUUAUAACCCUCAUUUAUCACUUGCCACUCCUGAUAAUUUUAUCCUGUGUAAAGAUAUCUAAA